AAUAGGUCAAGGAAGGGUAAUUAGAUAGACAGGUGAUAGACAGGUCAAGGAAGGGUAAUCAGAUAGACAGGUGAUAGACAGGUCAAGGAAGGGUAAUCAGAUAGACAGGUGAUAGACAGGUCAAGGAAGGGUAAUCAGAUAGACAGGUGAUAGACAGGUCAAGGAAGGGUAAUCAGAUACACAGGUGAUAGACAGGUCAAGGAAGGGUAAUCAGAUACACAGGUGAUAGACAGGUGAUAGACAGGUCAAGGAAGGGUAAUUAGAUAGACAGGUGAUAGACAGGUCAAGGAAGGGUAAUUAGAUAGACAGGUGAUAGACAGGUCAAGGAAGGGUAAUCAGAUAGACAGGUGAUAGACAGGUCAAGGAAGGGUAAUCAGAUAGACAGGUGAUAGACAGGUCAAGGAAGGGUAAUUAGAUAGACAGGCGAUAGACAGGUGAUAAACAGGUCAAGGAAGGGUAAUUAGAUAGACAGGUGAUAGACAGGUCAAGGAAGGGUAAUUAGAUAGACAGGUGAUAGACAGGUCAAGGAAGGGUAAUUAGAUAGACAGGUGAUAGACAGGUGAUAGACAGGUCAAGGAAGGGUAAUUAGAUAGACAGGUGAUAGACAGGUCAAGGAAGGGUAAUUAGAUAGACAGGUGAUAGACAGGUCAAGGAAGGGUAAUCAGAUAGACAGAUGAUAGACAGGUCAAGGAAGGGUAAUCAGAUAGACAGGUGAUGGACAGGUCAAGGAAGGGUAAUCAGAUAGACAGGUGAUAGACAGGUCAAGGAAGGGUAAUUAGAUACACAGGUGAUAGACAGGUCAAGGAAGGGUAAUUAGAUAGACAGGUGAUAGACAGGUCGAGGAAGGGUAAUCAGAUAGACAGAUUAGAGGAGUGAGAUGAAGUGGGAGACAGGUGAGGAGAGAGACUCAGACUGAGGACAGAGGUGAUAGGUUGCCAUCUUUCUCUGUGUUUUUUAUGUAGGCCUAUCUUUUCAUGUAUCUUUACCUUAGUCAGCUUAAAGAUCAAAUCUAUUGCAUGUUGGCAUUAUUCAAAUCAUAUUCAAAAUCACGACUCGCCUGUAGGAAUAAAAGUUUGGGCAUAGGCUACUCACAUUAUCGAUGGCAAUGAUGCCCCCUUGUCUCACAAGCUCAAGAGACUUCUCGUAAUAUCUGUCAUAGUUCCGUUUAUCCGCAUCGAUGAACACAAAGUCAUAGGUGCCAGCUUCCCCAGCAGCUAUCAACUCAUCUAGGACAAACAAAAGAUCACGUUGAAAAGGAUUCACCCGUUUCACAACGGAAUCGUGUUUGGGUUCUUUAAAAUCAGUCACCUACCCAGUGUUUUUAUACACAUUUGAAGACGGACAUUAAUUUUAUCCUCGACUCCGGCCUAGAAAAGAGAAAGGAUGACAAGGGUAGUUAGUCUAGGCAUCUGUACUGUUAAGUCCAUUUAAAUGUUUCAA
Molecule: long non-coding RNA, 1440 nt
Organism: Salvelinus fontinalis (brook trout)
Lineage: Eukaryota; Metazoa; Chordata; Actinopteri; Salmoniformes; Salmonidae
Exons: 2
Source: RefSeq, a predicted model, not a curated record